Molecule: transfer RNA, 72 nt
Filed under: Sus scrofa (pig)
Lineage: Eukaryota; Metazoa; Chordata; Mammalia; Artiodactyla; Suidae
Rfam family: tRNA
About the family: Transfer RNA (tRNA) molecules are approximately 80 nucleotides in length. Their secondary structure includes four short double-helical elements and three loops (D, anti-codon, and T loops).
Source: Rfam by way of RNAcentral
UCCCUGGUGGCCUAGUGGUUAGGAUUCAGUGCUUGUACUGCUGUGGCUUGGGUUCGAUUCCUGGUCUGGGAA